Molecule: long non-coding RNA, 556 nt
Filed under: Pan troglodytes (chimpanzee)
Lineage: Eukaryota; Metazoa; Chordata; Mammalia; Primates; Hominidae
Description: long non-coding RNA NONPTRT017481
Source: RNAcentral
AAAAUGAUGACCUCAUCAUGUUUGUGGACUUUGAAGGUGCAUCUCUGGACAUGCUUUCUUCUAAAUGGGAGCGCUGUCAGGCCAUGCAGGUGCAUGGCAGCGUCCUGGGCAUGGUGAUCAGAGGCACGGCUGGUGUGAUCUUCUUGACCUUCUCCAUCAUCGCCAUCCUUUCCCAAAGGCCAAGGAAGUGACCUGCCUGUUGGCAUUGGCCAGACCACAGCAGCACCUCCUCCAUGCAGGCCUUACCUUCCAAUGGUCAGUGCAGUUUGGGGCAGCUUUUUAAUCAGCCUUGCUUUGGAUAGGACCUCCAAGGUCUAAGGCCUCCAGCCCCAUGUGUGACCCUUGUCAUCUUUCUGCCCCACAUAAUUCUGUUACUCUGCUAUGUGCUCCUAAUGUAUCUAGUGUGUCCUGUGACAACAUUCAUCAUACUUCAUUAUAAACCACUUGUUUGAUUGACUGUCUUUCCUAUAGACUGUAAGCCCCAUGAGGGCAGGCACAUGUUGUUAUUGACCAUGCUGGCCACAUGCCUAGAUGCAUGGCUGGCACAUUGUGGGCA